Molecule: transfer RNA, 67 nt
Filed under: Sclerodermus sichuanensis
Lineage: Eukaryota; Metazoa; Arthropoda; Insecta; Hymenoptera; Bethylidae
Also listed under: 1 other name
Description: tRNA-Gln
Source: RNAcentral
UAUAUUUAAGUGUUUAUUGCAUAAAAAUUUUUGAUAUUUUUGGAAUUAGGAUUACUAAUAGAUAUAG